AUUAACAUCUCACAGAGCUGAACUUCGAAAAGAACAUAAACGAAAUUCGUUUGUGACAUCAUUCCUAAUGUUGGGAACGCGUUACGUUAUGAUGAAACGUGAAAAAUGGCCCAAUGUACACGUAACAUAAUUUGAUAUCUUCAUUUGAAAAAUUGGCCGACACAUCAUGGCUAUAUCACUUUAUUUGCAUACUUUAUCCAUUCAUCGAAACGUUAUCGUAUAUCAGAUCGAAUCAUUCAUUCUCCAGUCCGCAUCCGAAGUAGAGUCUGGUUUAAGGAAAAAAUUUAUUUUUAUUUGUGGCCAAGUGUGAAUUUUUUCAUAUUUAUUUCUUGAAUUUGUGAAUUGUCGUUAUUGUAUAUAUACGCAAAGGUAUAACAUCGGGGUGGGUGCAUUCUUAGAGCAAACAGAAAAGUAUACGGAACUCGAGUGAUUCAGUGAACAGAAAUGGUAAAAGUAACAGUGGCUUUGACGUACAUUUUUUCUUCUUAAUUUAUGAUCCUUUGUGCCUAACAAGAUUUUCGUAUUAAAACAAAAAGAAAGUUACAAAAUUGACUUAUAAUAUUCUCGUAUCAACUGAUCAACUAAUAGAAGAAAAAGAUGUUGGACAGAUUACAACAAGAUCUGCUUCUACCAGACAAAGUGAAAGCAAAAGUGGUAGAACAAUCGAAACAAACGCAGGUACAGUUUGAAAGUGUAGACACGAUACAGCGUGUCUCUGUUGUAGACGAACGUCUACUGGAAGUGCAGAAAGAACGAAAUGAUUCAACAUCUUCAAACAAAGGUGUUUUUCAUCAGAUUCUUUUAACCAGUGCUGUUUUGAUCAUGGCAGCUG
Bradysia coprophila is the source of this 832-nucleotide long non-coding RNA. Lineage: Eukaryota; Metazoa; Arthropoda; Insecta; Diptera; Sciaridae. The record is from RefSeq and is a predicted model, not a curated record.